This 1418-nucleotide unclassified non-coding RNA is filed under the name Hevea brasiliensis (rubber tree). The record is from RNAcentral. Lineage: Eukaryota; Viridiplantae; Streptophyta; Magnoliopsida; Malpighiales; Euphorbiaceae.
GCCUGAUAAACAAUUUUACACAAUCCCAUUUAUGAGGGAACUAAGAGCUUAUAAACAAACUAGAACAAACCAUCCAAGAAUCAUGGAGGCUAUGGAACCAAAAUUUCCAUUAACAAUGCCCAAAUCUCGAGCACAUUACACGAUUUUAGCUGAAAACUUGCAAUGGCUAGUGUGCUGGUAAACAAGGCCUAACAAAUGUUUGAUCGUUUGUGAAUGAACGCGUCCAACAUCAAGCCAGUCGAUGCAAAUGACACCUCUAUCUAGCAUUUUAGCGAGACUUUCAUCAUGCUGAAUUCUCGUGAAGCAGUACAUACUCUCGGCUACUAUUACCAAACUUAAGGGUAUCCUUUUCAAAUAGUUCAUAGUAUCUCUCAGGCUCAAUCCGGUUUUCAUUAAUGAAAGUACCAUUAGUGCUUCCAAGAUCCAUUACGUAUGGCCUUACUUGCUUUGAUGAAGUACCGUCGGGUUUGUCCUUCUCAACUUGCCGGUACUGGAGGACAGCAUGUUGCUUGCUGCAAGAUGGGUGAUCUGUGGGAACGUCUGCAACCCUCCUUUCUCUCCCAAAAAGAUAACAGCUUUGGCGAUGAACAUAUAGAGGAUCAUUAAGGACUUCACCGCCCUUAAAAACAUACAAGCGCCAUCUUAUGUCGGGUUUUCUAGCAUCUGGUGGCUCAUUGAAGAGAAGUGUUAUGCCUCUUACUCGAUUAGUUUCUGCUGCAAGCUUUCCAGAGAGCUCAAACGAAGGCUUAUCUUUAUUUUUAGCUUCCAAGGCCUCCUCAGCUUCCAUCAUUUUAGAUAAGGAGUCAUCUUCACCAUUCCUGAGUUCAUCUCUCGUUAAGUUUGUUACCUCAGAAUGUGCUCUACUAUCAGCUGCUACAGGUGAUCUUGAUCUGUGCCGACUUCUAUGCUGACGUUCUGAAAGUGAAGCUGAUAGACCAUUUCUCGACUUAUACGAUCCAUUAUCCUUUGAGUCCUUUCCUGAUUUUGUCUCUCUCUUUUCGAUUUGCAUCACUCUAUCAGAAUCCUUAUGUGCCGCCCUAUCACUAGCUCUCCCAUGGUUUUUUUCAGGCUCCCGCUCCCUCGACUUCUCUACAGCUUCUCGAUCUGCUCUCCUUAGUCUCUUUGUUCGUGGUGAGGGUGAACGAGAUUCAGGUAACAUUCUGUCAGAAUCUUUUUCUCUAUGUGUAGCCCUAUCACUAGCUCUCCCAUGAUUUUUUUCAGGCUCCCGUUCCCUUGGCUUUUCUUCAGCUUCUCGUUCUGCUCUUCUUAGUCUCUUUGUUCGUGGUGAGGGUGAACGAGAUUCAGGUAACAUUCUGUCAGAAUCUUUUUCUCUAUGUGUAGCCCUAUCACUAGCUCUCCCAUGAUUUUUUUCAGGCUCCCGUUCCCUUGGCUUUUCUUCAGCUUCUCGUUCUGCUCUU